This 460-nucleotide ribosomal RNA is filed under the name uncultured bacterium. RNAcentral describes it as "partial 16S ribosomal RNA". It matches the Rfam family "Bacterial small subunit ribosomal RNA", at positions 338 to 795 of the family's 1533-position model. The record is from RNAcentral.
CCUACGGGAGGCAGCAGUGAGGAAUAUUGGUCAAUGGACGAGAGUCUGAACCAGCCAAGUAGCGUGAAGGAUGACUGCCCUAUGGGUUGUAAACUUCUUUUAUAUGGGAAUAAAAUGUUCCACGUGUGGGAUGUUGUAUGUACCAUAUGAAUAAGGAUCGGCUAACUUCGUGCCAGCAGCCGGGGUAAUAAGGAGGGUUCGAGCGUUAUCCGGAUUUAUUGGGUUUAAAGGGAGCGUAGGUGGAUUGUUAAGUCCGUUGUGAAAGUUUGCGGCUCAAACGUAAAAUUGCAGUUGAAACUGGCAGUCUUGAGUACAGUAGAGGUGGGCGGAAUGCGUGGUGUAGCGGUGAAAUGCUUAGAUAUCACGAAGAACUCCGAUUGCGAAGGCAGCUCACUGGACUGCAACUGACACUGAGGCUCGAAAGUGUGGGUAUCAAACAGGAUUAGAUACCCUUGUAGUC